Molecule: transfer RNA, 71 nt
Filed under: Podocnemis unifilis (yellow-spotted Amazon River turtle)
Lineage: Eukaryota; Metazoa; Chordata; Testudines; Podocnemididae
Description: tRNA-Lys
Source: RNAcentral
ACACUAAAGAAGCUUAAUAUCACACAGCGCUAGACUUUUAAUCUAGAGAAGAGACUAAAUACUCCUUAGUG